RNAcentral lists this long non-coding RNA (413 nucleotides) under Fukomys damarensis (Damara mole-rat). RNAcentral describes it as "lncRNA (ENSFDAG00000021943.1)". Lineage: Eukaryota; Metazoa; Chordata; Mammalia; Rodentia; Bathyergidae. The record is from RNAcentral.
UGUUUUUUGAACAGAGUCUUGCUCACCAUACUGGCCUCCAACUUGCUAUGUCACCAAGGCUAGCCAUGAACUCAUGAUUUUCUUGCUUCCUCCUCCAAAGUGCUGGGGCUACAGUAUCUGCCACUUGGCUCAGCCAAAGUAAUUAUUUUUAAUUAUAAAGGACUCAAACUGGAACCCUGGGGCAGAAUCAUUCUUGAAAUGUCUCUGUCUUUAAAAACACCCUGCGCAAAAACCACGCCUGCUCCUGACCCAGCAGCCAUUGCUCAAGUGCCGGGAAGGUAGGCCAGCCAGAUCCACCAUGGGAAGGAGAACCACGCCUGCUCCCGACCCAGCAGUCAUCGCUCAAGCACCACGAAGGUAGCUGCGUGGGUGCCCCUGAACCCCCAUAGUCCCCCCCCCACACUCUCAGACCU